This is a microRNA precursor of Astatotilapia calliptera (eastern happy), 65 nucleotides long. Lineage: Eukaryota; Metazoa; Chordata; Actinopteri; Cichliformes; Cichlidae. The record is from Ensembl.
UGGAAGACUAGUGAUUUUGUUGUUGUAAAUUCAUGUUUUUGACAACAGAGUCACAGUCUACCUCG